RNAcentral lists this ribosomal RNA (816 nucleotides) under uncultured organism. Its description in RNAcentral is "bacterial SSU rRNA". It matches the Rfam family "Bacterial small subunit ribosomal RNA", at positions 682 to 1510 of the family's 1533-position model. The record is from RNAcentral.
UGAAAUGCAUAGGAUUUGAUACCAGAACACCGAUAGCGAAGGCAGCUUACCAAACUGUAACUGACGCUCAUGCACGAAAGCGGGGGAGCAAACAGGAUUAGAUACCUGGUAGUCCACGCUGUAAACUAUGAUCACUCGCUGUGGGCGAUACACUGUCAGCGGUUUAGCGAAAGUGUUAAGUGAUCCACCUGGGGAGUACGAUCGCAAGGUUGAAACUCAAAGGAAUUGACGGGGGCCCGCACAAGCGGAGGAGCAUGUGGUUUAAUUCGAUGAUACGCGAGGAACCUUACCUGGGCUUAAAUGCAGAACGACCUCCCGAGAAAUCGGGACUUCCUUCGGGACGGACUGCAAGGUGCUGCAUGGUUGUCGUCAGCUCGUGCCGUGAGGUGUCGGGUUAAGUCCCAUAACGAGCGCAACCCUUAUCCUUAGUUGCCAACAGGUAAUGCUGGGAACUCUAAGGAGACUGCCUACGCAAGUAGUGAGGAAGGUGGGGAUGACGUCAAAUCAGCACGGCCCUUAUGUCCAGGGCUACACACGUGCUACAAUGGUCGGUACAGAGGGCAGCUACCUGGCAACAGGAUGCUAAUCUCGAAAGCCGAUCUCAGUUCGGAUUGGAGUCUGCAACUCGACUCCAUGAAGUUGGAUUCGCUAGUAAUCGCGCAUCGGCCAUGGCGCGGUGAAUACGUUCCCGGGCCUUGUACACACCGCCCGUCAAGCCAUGGGAGCUGGGAGUACCUGAAGUCUGUUACCGCAAGGAGCGGCCUAGGGUAAAACCAGUAACUGGGGCUAAGUCGUAACAAGGUAACCAAGGGCGAA